Molecule: ribosomal RNA, 274 nt
Filed under: uncultured bacterium
Lineage: Bacteria
Description: partial 16S ribosomal RNA
Rfam family: Bacterial small subunit ribosomal RNA
Source: RNAcentral
AUACGGAGGGUGCGAGCGUUAAUCGGAAUUACUGGGCGUAAAGCGCGCGUAGGCGGCUUAUUAAGUCAGAUGUGAAAUCCCCGGGCUCAACCUGGGAACUGCAUCUGAUACUGGUAAGCUAGAGUUCUAGAGAGGGAAGUAGAAUUUCAGGUGUAGCGGUGAAAUGCAUAGAGAUCUGAAGGAAUACCAGUGGCGAAGGCGACUUCCUGGCCAAAAACUGACGCUGAGGUGCGAAAGCGUGGGUAGCAAACGGAAUUAGAAACCCCUGUAGUCC